This is a non-coding RNA of Trichonephila clavata, 74 nucleotides long. The record is from the annotation of a GenBank genome assembly. NCBI's taxonomy places the organism in Eukaryota, Metazoa, Arthropoda, Arachnida, Araneae, Nephilidae.
AGUACCUGUAGCGCAAAGGAUAGCCCGUUGGACUUCUAAUCCAAAAGUUGUGGUUUUGAAUCACACCUGGACUG